UUUGGCGCUAUGCAGAAUGACGAAGAAAAUUAGCGCAACUUUCAAAACCAAACAUUUAUAUCAACACCAACCAAAAAAAAAUAAAUAAAUAUCAGAUACCUGUUGAGUUUGGAUAGUAACUAUGUAUGUAUAGGUUAAAUCUUGUAAUAAAUGCACAACGAUUUAGUUUAAUGACACUCAGCAAUUCAGGACUGGCUGUUCUGGGAAAAUAAUCUUCCAAUCGACCAUACCAGCAAUCUGAAAUUUACUGCUGAUUCCCUGCUACAAUAAGAGGACAAAAACUACCAGGUGUAGUCCUACAAGCAGCAGAACUGUGUUGUUUUAAUUAAAUGAUCAUAUUUGGGGUGGUCACAGUAGCAUUCCUGAUUUUAAAAUUUCAGGGAUCAAAUUUCAUUACAAAAACAUAAUUCCAAUGAAGACAAUAAUCAGGUAUAACAAUAAUUUUUCUCAUGCCACUCAUUUACAUUUACAGCAUUUGACAGAUGCCCUUAUCCAGAGCGACUUACAUUAUCUCAUUUUUGUACAACUGAGGGUUAAGAGCCUUGCUCAGGGGCCCAACUGUGGCAGCUUGGUGGACCUGGAAUCGAACUCACAACCUUUACGAUUGGUAACCCAACACCUUAACCACUAGGCUACCACAUGCCCACUCAGUACUAAUCCAGUCAGAAUAAGGCUGGUUCUUACUUUUAUUGCCCUUUAGUACAGCCAGCGGUCCUCCAUUUUGGGUCUUGGGAGUUUUGGCUACUUCGGCUGUGUACAGAUGGUCUGAGUCGUCGAGAGCCAGGCGCCUCUUCGCCUGUGGAUUGAGUUCACAAGACAAUCAGACAUGUUGCUGUCACAAAUCAGCUGAGCAGACCAAAAAAAACAAAAAACAAAAAAAAACACAGCUGUGUCGCUGGGAGAAGUCGAAUUUUUCAGUCUCAGAUUCAGUUUAACCUUGUUUGCAUAUUCAGUGUUCCAGACAAAUCUUUUGCAAAUAUUAAGAAAAUCUCCACAUGGCUGGUACAGAAAAUCUCACCCCCACUCCAGAAUCCCCAAUUAGUUCUCAAAAACCUUCAAAAUCUUCUACGCUCAAGACAAUCUUUAAAUCGUAUCUUAAUCUUUAUUUACGGCAAAAGCCUGAAACACGACCGUGUGCUGAUGGAAAAGUUGUAAUUCCUGUCGUCUAAACUCCAACACCAGGCACAUAGUAAACUACAUCAAUUAAAUUGGCUAAUCAUUCAAGUCGUGACAUUUACGACCGUUAGUUCUCCAUUAUGCGGAUCCAAAUUUACCGAGUUGUGUAUGCAAAGGCUAAUUCCUGUUCAGAUGUCACUUGGAUUGUAAACUAUUAUGAUUAGCUUUAGCGUUGUACAGAUAUCUGUAAAAAUGGCAACCUGACGAUGUCUAUUAAAAUCACCACCAUGCCAAGUUUUACUGUUUAGUUACACUAAAUAAAAGCUGACCGUGCUUCACAAAUUUCAUUUUCCAAUCAUAAAAAAUGAAACAUUUUCAUUUACAUCCCAAACAAGCCUGCUUAACCAUAGCUUAGAUUGACGAGGCUGCUGAAAGUGAAGAAAUAAUAGAAAGAAAAUGAUUACAUUUUGGAGAGUUAUGGAAACAUCUAGACUUCUUGUCUAUUCAAUCUUUCGCUCAUUUAGAAUUUAGACUUUAGCUGAAAAGAUAGAUGACUCUGACGUCUUCCUACGUCACUCUUUGCCUCAAUCUUGUUAAACGCAAAAACAAAACUAUUAUUUGCAUCAUUGAAAUUUACACAAACCUCUGCUUCUUGCAUCACUAAAACUACUUCCUGUUUGGACAUGGCUACUGAAUAAAAAUCCUACUAACUACAAAUAAACAAGAAAGAUGAAAUUCUGGCAUCAAAGCAAAAAAAAAAAAGUAUGUCUGUGUGUGUAUAUAUGUAUACACACACACACAUACACACACACACACAUAAAUAACAUGGGUAAUUGAUUUGUUUGUGGUCUCCGUAAACAUGCAACAAACUUAUGGAAGCUAAUAAAGAUUUUUUUAACGCUUUGCUACCUCAUGUUCACCCCCAAAAACCUUCCUGUUUAUCAAUGUUUCUACAUUUAUCACUACAAAAACAUGUCAACUUUGAGAAGAUGUGCUAAGCUAAACUACUGUUCGUGUUAAAUAACCGCGAUACGAUAUUUUGUUCUGUAUCGAGCUGCUAUGCACCUCGCCUCGGGAACGACUUGUGCGUUUGUUUUUAGUGACGUCGUUUAAAAAAAAGUUAGAAGAAAACACAGCAGGCUUCCUACGUCACUUUGUCUCGUUUAUUUCUCAUUUCUUUGCACUGAGUACUUCCUGUUUAGACCCGGGUCCGUUUCCAUAGCUACUGAAAAAAAAAUGUGUCCAGAAGAAUCCCCAUGACUGAGCUGGCCUUCCUGACCAGCUUGUCCAGUCUCUUCCUUUCUGCAGUAGAGAUGCUGCUGCACCAGCAGACCACACCAUAGGAUAUGACUGAGGCCACCACAGAGUCAAAAAGGUCUUCAGUAGCUCUCCCUGCACUCCAAAAGACCUUAGUCUACUCAUCAGAAAGAGUCUGACAAGAGAUUGACAAGUAACAAGAAAACUGAUCACAAAUUAAUAACAGAUAAAAAAGAUUAUUUUAGGAAUCUAAUUGCUGGACCUCCGUCAUCCUUUGUGAAUGAAUCUGUAUCAAAAGCACAUAUUUAUUUAGGUUUAAUAUGGAUUAAAUGGAUAUUGUAAUUGAAUAAUUUUUCUGAUGCUGUAUUAUAUGCAUUUACAUAAUGUGCAAAUUACUAAAUCAGUGGAAUGUUACAUGCAAACAUUCCCUAAUAAAGCUGUUUUUUAAAGGCA
Molecule: long non-coding RNA, 2826 nt
Organism: Tachysurus fulvidraco (yellow catfish)
Lineage: Eukaryota; Metazoa; Chordata; Actinopteri; Siluriformes; Bagridae
Exons: 2
Source: RefSeq, a predicted model, not a curated record